This 253-nucleotide ribosomal RNA is filed under the name uncultured bacterium. RNAcentral's name for it is "partial 16S ribosomal RNA". It matches the Rfam family "Bacterial small subunit ribosomal RNA", at positions 524 to 776 of the family's 1533-position model. The record is from RNAcentral.
UACGAAGGGGGCGAGCGUUGUUCGGAUUUACUGGGCGUAAAGGGCGCGUAGGCGGCCCUCCUUGUCGCGUGUGAAAGCCCCGGGCUCAACCUGGGAAUUGCGCGCGAAACGGGGGGGCUUGAGUUCGGGAGAGGAGCGUGGAAUUCCCAGUGUAGAGGUGAAAUUCGUAGAUAUUGGGAAGAACACCAGUGGCGAAGGCGGCUCACUGGUCCAUUACUGACGCUGAGGUGCGAAAGCGUGGGGAGCAAACAGG